AACGGCAAAGGAGUUCCCCUCAUUCCCUCCCAACAGCAAAGGAGUUCCUCUCAUUCCCCCGAGUUCGGAUUGGACACUACAAAAUUCUCAACAGACUGUAGAAGUCACGCGGAGAGAAGGGAGAGCAGCAGCAAAUCGACUGUAGCAUUCUCAACAUCGACUGUAGAAGAGAAGGGAGAGCAGCAGCAACAUCGGACACUACUAUUCUAGGGUUUCGUAGUUGUUCCUUCUUGAUUGUUUCAGGUACCAAUUGCAGUCUCCUCUUGUUUCAGGAAUCAAUUUAAAUCAAUUUUUGAAUCAAUUUAAAUCAACGAUUUCAAUCAGUAACAUUGAGAUAAUCUGUAUAAUUUUGCUGAGAAAAUCAUUGAGGUAUUGAAUGGUUGGAUGGUCUGUCCUUCUAAACACAUUUACAAAAGUCUUGCGUUUGAGUUCAACCAAUGUCACAAAUAAUUUUAUUAUAAAAAUUUACAUUCGAGCUUAAUUUGAGCCAAAUGAUCUCAAAUUAAACUCGAACCAACCUACUAUUAAAUCUUGAACAUGAGCUAAUUUAUUCAUAUAAUGGUAUUACCCUAAGGUCUGUUGAUGACAGAAUCAGUGGAGGAGAAGAAAUUCACACUAAAUGAAUCUCAGCAUAUCCAUGCCUAUUUAUUUCACAGAUUGGAAACUUCCAAAUAUGCUUUAUAAUUGUAGUGGACGACCACUGCUAACCAGCUAACUUUAUUGGAAUUGGAAAUAAGUCAAAUAACUAAGUAGCAACUGACUAAACUAUGGUUAUUCUUAACAAUAAAAAAAAUAAACUGAUAAGAAAGCUGAUAAAUUCUAGGGAUCAAGGCAUUCCAUUGUCAAUAAAUGGAUAGAGGAAAGAUGCAUUAAAGGUCAGUUUUAACAUCUAAGUUAGAAUAAGCCAUAACCAUAUGAUCGAUCAGAUGUAUUUUUUUUAUUUAGAAUAAAGGCAGUGCCCUGAAUUACAUUGGAUUAGAUGUAAUAAAGCAAUGACAAUACAGAUGUGAAACUAUUUGUUCUAAAUUAUGCGCUUCAAUAUGUCCAAAAUGUGAAAAAUGUGAAAAAUAUAAAGAUUAUAGAGAUUUCUUUCAAUUGAAGCAAAUUGAAGGUUUUCUAUAGUUUACAAAAUCUUCUCAAAAUGAAUCUGACUGCUUUAUUCAUGAAAUGCUUGUUGUCACUGCCAUUGAUUUGAUAGACAGCAUUAGGAGAGAUCAUUCAAAGGAACUUCUUUGUUGAUCUAUUAGUCAUUAUCAAUGCUUUAGAUAGAUGCCCAUCUGAAGCUGUUAAUACUAAGAUUCUGAACUUCUUUGUUGAUCUACUUUCUGGUGAUUUUUCUUGUCCUACUUUUAAUGAAAAAUUACUUAGAAAAUUCAUUUCAUUUGAUUUGAUAUGUUUAUCAAAGUGGCUUGAAUUCAGACUCUUGGGGAGAAGCACUAAGGAUGAAUCAGGAAAUGUUAGCACUAAAGGGGUUUCCCCUUCCCUUAGAGAUUAAAAAUACUUAACAGUACGAACUUUAAAGAUUAAAGAAUAGAAAUAUACUAGAUUCCAGUAAUAGACCUAUACUAGAUUCCAUUAUCACUUAUGUAGUUAUGUUUGUAUUACACCACAAUAAAAAAUGUAGUUAUGUUUUCACCAAAGAUUUCUCUGUUAUUUGGAAAUCUUAUAAUAGAUAUACUUAUAUUAAUUCCCAUGUUGUUUUAUUGGAUAUUUUAUUAAUUCCAUGGGAAAAUCCUUAGCUUUAAAAUUGUAUUGGUUUAAAAACUAAUUGUAUUGGUUUAAAAUUCUUAGAAUGACCGAUGAUGAUCGAACUUGGAUGUAUAACCGGCAAGAUUCAAAAGGUCAUCUAACGGUGGAAUUUGGCAAUGGCAUCCCUCAUUUCUUGAAAUGUGCAAGAGAAAAACUUGG
Molecule: long non-coding RNA, 1908 nt
Filed under: Zostera marina
Lineage: Eukaryota; Viridiplantae; Streptophyta; Magnoliopsida; Alismatales; Zosteraceae
Description: long non-coding RNA (ZMAR_LNC005596)
Source: RNAcentral